RNAcentral lists this ribosomal RNA (302 nucleotides) under uncultured bacterium. Its description in RNAcentral is "partial 16S ribosomal RNA". It matches the Rfam family "Bacterial small subunit ribosomal RNA", at positions 508 to 807 of the family's 1533-position model. The record is from RNAcentral.
GCAGUAGCCGCGGGAAUACGGAGGGUGCAAGCGUUAAUCGGAAUUACUGGGCGUAAAGCGCACGCAGGCGGUCUGACAAGUCAGAUGUGAAAUCCCCGGGCUUAACCUGGGAACUGCAUUUGAAACUGUCAGGCUGGAGUCUUGUAGAGGGGGGUAGAAUUCCAGGUGUAGCGGUGAAAUGCGUAGAGAUCUGGAGGAAUACCGGUGGCGAAGGCGGCCCCCUGGACAAAGACUGACGCUCAGGUGCGAAAGCGUGGGGAGCAAACAGGAUUAGAUACCCCUGUAGUCCCUGUCUCUUAUAC